Molecule: unclassified non-coding RNA, 208 nt
Filed under: Hevea brasiliensis (rubber tree)
Lineage: Eukaryota; Viridiplantae; Streptophyta; Magnoliopsida; Malpighiales; Euphorbiaceae
Source: RNAcentral
CUGGAGGGAAUGUCAUUACAGAAGUGGGUGUGCAUCACUGUUUUAUGUCCUACAUGUUCAAAUCCCUUGCUUUAUUGCAGAACCACUUUAUUGUUCAUAAGUAUGAUAAAUAAACAUGUAUUCCUGGUGUUAACCUUCCAAAAUUGGUUAAUAUGGCAUAUCCAAGAGGAACACUGCCAUGUAGAGAGCUCCUAAUUCUACACAGGCA